RNAcentral lists this ribosomal RNA (506 nucleotides) under uncultured bacterium. Its description in RNAcentral is "partial 16S ribosomal RNA". It matches the Rfam family "Bacterial small subunit ribosomal RNA", at positions 29 to 523 of the family's 1533-position model. The record is from RNAcentral.
AGUGAACGCUGGCGGUAGGCCUAACACAUGCAAGUCGAACGGCAGCACAGAGGAGCUUGCUCCUUGGGUGGCGAGUGGAGGACGGGUGAGGAAUACGUCGGAAUCUACUCUGUCGUGGGGGAUAACGUAGGGAAACUUACGCUAAUCCCGCAUACGAACUACGGGUGAAAGCAGGGGUUCUUCGGACCUUGCGCGAUUGAAUGAGCCGAUGUCGGAGUAGCUAGUUGGCGGGGUAAAGGCCCACCAAGGCGACGAUCCGUAGCUGGUCUGAGAGGAUGAUCAGCCACACUGGAACUGAGACACGGUCCAGACUCCUACGGGAGGCAGCAGUGGGGAAUAUUGGACAAUGGGCGCAAGCCUGAUCCAGCCAUACCGCGUGGGUGAAGAAGGCCUUCGGGUUGUAAAGCCCUUUUGUUGGGAAAGAAAUCCAUCUGGUUAAUACCCGGGUGGGAUGACGGUACCCAAAGAAUAAGCACCGGCUAACUUCGUGCCAGCCGCCGCCGUAA